AGCGAACGCUGGCGGCAGGCUUAACACAUGCAAGUCGAACGAAGCCUUCGGGCUUAGUGGCGGACGGGUGAGUAACACGUGGGAACGUACCUUUUGGUUCGGGAUAACACAGGGAAACUUGUGCUAAUACCGAAUGUGCCCUUAGGGGGAAAGAUUUAUCGCCAUUAGAGCGGCCCGCGUUAGAUUAGCUAGUUGGUGGGGUAAAGGCCCACCAAGGCUACGAUCUAUAGCUGGUCUGAGAGGAUGAUCAGCCACACUGGGACUGAGACACGGCCCAGACUCCUACGGGAGGCAGCAGUGGGGAAUCUUGCGCAAUGGUCGAAAGACUGACGCAGCCAUGCCGCGUGAAUGAUGAAGGUCUUAGGAUUGUAAAAUUCUUUUACCAGGGACGAUAAUGACGGUACCUGGAGAAAAAGCUCCGGCUAACUUCGUGCCAGCCGCCGCGGUAA
RNAcentral lists this ribosomal RNA (449 nucleotides) under uncultured bacterium. RNAcentral's name for it is "partial 16S ribosomal RNA". It matches the Rfam family "Bacterial small subunit ribosomal RNA", at positions 29 to 523 of the family's 1533-position model. The record is from RNAcentral.